ACUCCUACGGGAGGCAGCAGUGGGGAAUAUUGCACAAUGGGCGCAAGCCUGAUGCAGCCAUGCCGCGUGUAUGAAGAAGGCCUUCGGGUUGUAAAGUACUUUCAGCGGGGAGGAAGGCGAUAAGGUUAAUAACCUUGUCGAUUGACGUUACCCGCAGAAGAAGCACCGGCUAACUCCGUGCCAGCAGCCGCGGUAAUACGGAGGGUGCAAGCGUUAAUCGGAAUUACUGGGCGUAAAGCGCACGCAGGCGGUCUGUCAAGUCGGAUGUGAAAUCCCCGGGCUCAACCUGGGAACUGCAUUCGAAACUGGCAGGCUAGAGUCUUGUAGAGGGGGGUAGAAUUCCAGGUGUAGCGGUGAAAUGCGUAGAGAUCUGGAGGAAUACCGGUGGCGAAGGCGGCCCCCUGGACAAAGACUGACGCUCAGGUGCGAAAGCGUGGGGAGCAAACAGGAUUAGAUACCCCAGUAGUCCCA
This 471-nucleotide ribosomal RNA is filed under the name uncultured organism. RNAcentral's name for it is "partial 16S ribosomal RNA". It matches the Rfam family "Bacterial small subunit ribosomal RNA", at positions 335 to 797 of the family's 1533-position model. The record is from RNAcentral.